Long non-coding RNA from Candoia aspera, 152 nucleotides. RefSeq lists it as uncharacterized. The record is from RefSeq and is a predicted model, not a curated record. Lineage: Eukaryota; Metazoa; Chordata; Lepidosauria; Squamata; Candoiidae. The transcript has 3 exons.
AGAAUGGUAUCGAUGUUCUUGCUCAGGAAAUGGUAGAAGCUCAACUAUUACCACCAUCUGAAAUGGGCUCUAGUUCUUCCGGGAUGAACCAUGAAGAUGCUAAUGAACACAUGGAUUCUCAGUCUUCAGAGGAAGAUACCAAGGAACAAAAG